AGUGGCGGACGGGUGAGUAACGCGUGGGUAACCUGCCCUGUACAGGGGGACAACAGCUGGAAACGGCUGCUAAUACCGCAUAAGCCUACAGUACCGCAUGGUACAGCAGGAAAAACUCCGGUGGUACAGGAUGGGCCCGCGUCUGAUUAGUUAGUUGGCAGGGUAACGGCCUACCAAGACAACGAUCAGUAGCCGGCUUGAGAGAGUGGACGGCCACAUUGGGACUGAGACACGGCCCAAACUCCUACGGAAGGCAGCAG
Molecule: ribosomal RNA, 260 nt
Filed under: uncultured bacterium
Lineage: Bacteria
Description: partial 16S ribosomal RNA
Rfam family: Bacterial small subunit ribosomal RNA
Source: RNAcentral